Molecule: non-coding RNA, 1799 nt
Organism: Drosophila virilis
Lineage: Eukaryota; Metazoa; Arthropoda; Insecta; Diptera; Drosophilidae
Source: RefSeq, a predicted model, not a curated record
ACUCGACCCACUAACCUAAUUGUGAUUCGGGGUGACCCUUAAAGAAAAGGUAUUUAUAUGUGCUAGUGUUGAGACUUGGAACUAAUUAAGGCUUCCACAGUUUCCGUGCCUGCUCAGUUGACUAGAUUUAGACGUACUAGUCGGCACUACCAGAGGGGGAGAUCGGACCAGACAAGGGCAACACCAAGAGCACGUGUCGCACUUAGCAACCCAGCAGAACCAAUUUUGUUGCUAUUUUACUUAUCAGCCGCUGUCUUGCGAAGAACAACAUCUGGCAUAGCCUCGGAAAACGGCGUCAAGCGGGUGAAACGCUUACUAUUUAUGCAGCACCAUCGGGACCGCAUGCACUAAGCAUAUAGUGUAACCUGCAGAGAGUAACAAAGGAGCCGACAACAGCGAUCAUAAUCGUCGUAUACAUUGGGCCCAACGUCUGCUUCGAAGGAUAUCGCCAACAGCGAUCAUAAUCGUCGUAUACAUUGGGCCCAACGUCUGCUUCGAAGGAUAUCGCAGUAUUUUGUAGUCGUACAACUCUCAAUUGGCUCAUCAAAUUAUUCGAUCGCCUAAUUAAGGAAGCUAUUCUUACGCUCGCUGCACUUGAACAGCCUUCUUUUUUUUGUUGAGCUAAGCCCAGGGGCUGAAAAGUAUCUUGGACUCUGAGCUGUUGCUGGACUUGGCGCAGCUGUCAGUUUCUCACGUUUGUGUUUGGUUGGUGGCUUAUCAAUGUCCGCCCAGGCGACUUCGAGGAUUAAAUGAUUAAUAAAAUAUUAUUAUAGUCGCAGACAAAUUUGUUGCAGCAGAGUGGGGCCAUUGUUAGCAUAUCAACAAAUGUUGUUGUUAUUUGUGCUGCAUAGUCACGCACCCAGCCGCAGCCGACCGCCCGCCCGUCCACCCGCGCUUGGUAUAAAAAUUCAAAUAAAAACAUAAAAUAGCAGUUGGCACAUGACUCAGCCUCCAAGAAGCUGACAGUUUUUAUGGCAGCACGAACGCGUGUCCUGGCUGCCACACAUCAAAUUGUAUAAUAUUAAUUUCUAAUUGCAUAAAUUUAGCGGCACAUCUCGUUAUGUUUACGAGAUUCCAUUGUCGAGGACAAACAUAAAAAUUAAAGCGCUUCAAGGUGUUUGCGCCCAGGAUCACAACCUCGCAUCCUGGUGCCUCACCUCAGCUCUGCUUGGUCUCGUGCCGGUUUUUGUUUUUAUUUGCCCGUCGCAAUGCCGUCGAUAUAAAAACAACCAUCAAAUGCCGAGUUAAAAUGUUUUAUUAUUUGACUUUAUGUGCUGCCCCGCUCGCCUCCUCAGCAAGCCGGUCACGACAGUUCAAGAGACAAUUGCCGACUGGUUUAUUAUUAUAUUUUCCUUUUUUCUUAGCUCUGUCACAGGCCGAUAACUUCGCCGUUUAGAUGUUUGAUGUCUUUGCAAUAUAAACAUUGUCUGUGCGUCUCCAGCUUCCUGCGGGCAUCCUUAACGGCGCAAUAUCUCUAAAAAUGUUAUUAAAAUCGCAUCGCAAACGUGCCGAUAAGCGUACCCAUCGCAAUUAUUUUGAUUUGCUGCGGUUCACGGCUGACAAUCCCAAGUAUUUACUGUGCAGUACAGUACCAACUGCUUAAAAAAGAUUGCAACAUGCUAUUUGAAGUUUUCGCUCAAAGGGUUUUACUUCAUUAAAUUGAACUCUUAAAUGACAGUCCCUUAUAUUAAACCGCAUUUUCUUAUUAAUAAGUAGUUAUACUUGCUUGUUUUUACUUAUUAUAAUUAUUGCAUUUUUUCAAAAACUACCAUUAACGCAAUGUUACCCUUUAAAAUAUU